Long non-coding RNA from Columba livia (rock pigeon), 755 nucleotides. RefSeq lists it as uncharacterized. The record is from RefSeq and is a predicted model, not a curated record. Lineage: Eukaryota; Metazoa; Chordata; Aves; Columbiformes; Columbidae. The transcript has 4 exons.
UGCAGCACCGAGGUGCCACGGGGGGUGGAUUUGGGGUGCAGCACCGGAGCAGCAUGGGGGGUGGAUUUGGGGUGCAGCACCGAGGUGCCACGGGGUGGGUGGAUUUGGGGUGCAGCACAGGUGCCACGGGGGGGUGGAUUUGGGGUGCCCUGCUCUGCGGUGCCGGGGACCCCCUGCCUGCCCCCGUUUUGGGGCUCCCCACCCACCAGCACCACCAGGUCGACGCGCGCCUGCGCCAGCAGGUCCAGCCGGUACCGGUCGUCCUGGCGCGUCCCCAGCGCCGCCCCGCACAGCAGCUGCUUCCGCGCGUCCUUGGACGCCCCCGGGUGCUCCCGGUUCUUGCGCAGGUCCGUGCGCGCCAUGAUGGCCACCAGCUCGUCACGCGCGUUCACGAUCGGCAGCUUCCCUGGGACACAGAGGUGACAACAGGGAUGGGGAUGGGGGGACACAGAGGUGACAACAGGGAAGUGGGAUAUGGUGAUGACACCAGGGAUGGGGACGUGGAGGUGACACCAGGGAUGGGGACAGGGGAACCCCAAGGUGACCCCUCAUUCACAUGCACCACGAUGGCCACCAGCUCAUCACGCGCGUUCAUGAGCGGCAGCUUCCCUGGGACACAGGUGACAACAGGGAAGUGGGAUAUGGUGAUGACACCAGGGAUGGGGACAUGGAGGUGACACCAGGGAUGGGGAUGAGGGAACCCCAAGGUGACCCCUCAUGCAUGUGCGCCACCAUGGCCACGAGCUCGUCACGCA